Molecule: unclassified non-coding RNA, 344 nt
Filed under: soil metagenome
Description: partial contains 5.8S ribosomal RNA, internal transcribed spacer 2, and large subunit ribosomal RNA
Rfam family: 5.8S ribosomal RNA (bases 1-120)
Source: RNAcentral
GAUGAAGAACGUAGCGAAAUGCGAUAAGUAAUGUGAAUUGCAGAAUUCAGUGAAUCAUCGAAUCUUUGAACGCACAUUGCGCCCGCCAGUAUUCUGGCGGGCAUGCCUGUUCGAGCGUCAUUUCCACCAUCAGGCCCCCGGGCCUGUGUUGGGGACCUGCGGCUGCCCGCAGGCCCCGAAAUUCAGUGGCGGUCGCGCCGUAGCAACCGAGCGUAGUAACUAAAACGUCUCGCUCUGGCUCGCUGGGCGCGAUCCGGCCGUAAAACACCCCCCCUUUUCGCAAAGGUUGACCUCGGAUCAGGUAGGAAUACCCGCUGAACUUAAGCAUAUCAAUAAGCGGAGGA